This 253-nucleotide ribosomal RNA is filed under the name uncultured bacterium. RNAcentral's name for it is "partial 16S ribosomal RNA". It matches the Rfam family "Bacterial small subunit ribosomal RNA", at positions 524 to 776 of the family's 1533-position model. The record is from RNAcentral.
UACGUAGGGUGCGAGCGUUAAUCGGAAUUACUGGGCGUAAAGCGUGCGCAGGCGGUUCUCCAAGUCCGUUGUGAAAGCCCCGGGCUUAACCUGGGAACUGCAUUUGUGACUGCAUGGCUAGAGUGCGGCAGAGGGGGAUGGAAUUCCGCGUGUAGCAGUGAAAUGCGUAGAUAUGCGGAGGAACACCGAUGGCGAAGGCAAUCCCCUGGGCCUGCACUGACGCUCAUGCACGAAAGCGUGGGGAGCAAACAGG